CCUACGGGAGGCAGCAGUAGGGAAUCUUCCGCAAUGGACGAAAGUCUGACGGAGCAACGCCGCGUGAGUGAAGAAGGUUUUCGGAUCGUAAAACUCUGUUGUGAGGGAAGAACAAGUACCAACUAACUACUGGUACCUUGACGGUACCUCACCAGAAAGCCACGGCUAACUACGUGCCAGCAGCCGCGGUAAUACGUAGGUGGCAAGCGUUGUCCGGAAUUAUUGGGCGUAAAGCGCGCGCAGGCGGUCCUUUAAGUCUGAUGUGAAAGCCCACGGCUCAACCGUGGAGGGUCAUUGGAAACUGGGGGACUUGAGUGCAGAAGAGGAAAGUGGAAUUCCACGUGUAGCGGUGAAAUGCGUAGAGAUGUGGAGGAACACCAGUGGCGAAGGCGACUUUCUGGUCUGUAACUGACGCUGAGGCGCGAAAGCGUGGGGAGCAAACAGGAUUAGAUACCCUGGUAGUCCACGCCGUAAACGAUGAGUGCUAAGUGUUAGGGGGUUUCCGCCCCUUAGUGCUGCAGCUAACGCAUUAAGCACUCCGCCUGGGGAGUACGGUCGCAAGGCUGAAACUCAAAUGAAUUGACGGGG
Molecule: ribosomal RNA, 588 nt
Filed under: uncultured Planococcus sp.
Lineage: Bacteria; Bacillati; Bacillota; Bacilli; Caryophanales; Caryophanaceae
Description: bacterial SSU rRNA
Rfam family: Bacterial small subunit ribosomal RNA
Source: RNAcentral